This 476-nucleotide ribosomal RNA is filed under the name uncultured bacterium. RNAcentral describes it as "bacterial SSU rRNA". It matches the Rfam family "Bacterial small subunit ribosomal RNA", at positions 48 to 508 of the family's 1533-position model. The record is from RNAcentral.
GCUAUACAUGCAAGUAGAACGCUGAAGGAGGAGCUUGCUUCUCUGGAUGAGUUGCGAACGUGUGAGUAACGCGUAGGUAACCUGCCUGGUAGCGGGGGAUAACUAUUGGAAACGAUAGCUAAUACCGCAUAAGAGUAGAUGUCGCAUGACAUUUGCUUAAAAGGUGCAAUUGCAUCACUACCAGAUGGACCUGCGUUGUAUUAGCUAGUUGGUGAGGUAACGGCUCACCAAGGCGACGAUACAUAGCCGACCUGAGAGGGUGAUCGGCCACACUGGGACUGAGACACGGCCCAGACUCCUACGGGAGGCAGCAGUAGGGAAUCUUCGGCAAUGGACGGAAGUCUGACCGAGCAACGCCGCGUGAGUGAAGAAGGUUUUCGGAUCGUAAAGCUCUGUUGUAAGAGAAAAACGAGUGUGAGAGUGGAAAGUUCACACUGUGACGGUAUCUUACCAGAAAGGGACGGCUAACUACGUGC